Hippocampus zosterae (dwarf seahorse) is the source of this 360-nucleotide long non-coding RNA. RefSeq lists it as uncharacterized. The transcript is spliced from 2 exons. Lineage: Eukaryota; Metazoa; Chordata; Actinopteri; Syngnathiformes; Syngnathidae. The record is from RefSeq and is a predicted model, not a curated record.
CUUCCGUCACGCUCGUCUUGGGAUGGCGGGAGGCGGGCGACGCCCCCAACCGGUCGCCGGUCAAAGGCCGAGCAGACAAUUCCGUAUUUGUCAUCGCGCUCUUAGUCCACUCUGUUUUUCGUCACCGCAAAUGAAAUACAACAACCCUGUGUGUGUGUGUGUGAGUGUGUGUGUGUGUGUGUGUCUGGCCUAUGGGCUCCUCCAGGGCGAUGCAAACCUUCGUGCCCCCACGCUAGACACGCACACGCACAGCCCUCAGGGCAGGGCAUACCAGUCCUGAUGACGCUCUGACAGCCCAACAGCUGCAGCCUGUUGUUGUUUCAACACACACACACACACACACACACACGCCGCCAUGAC